This is a long non-coding RNA of Etheostoma spectabile (orangethroat darter), 2710 nucleotides long. RefSeq lists it as uncharacterized. NCBI's taxonomy places the organism in Eukaryota, Metazoa, Chordata, Actinopteri, Perciformes, Percidae. The transcript is spliced from 2 exons. The record is from RefSeq and is a predicted model, not a curated record.
AGGUAAAACAGUGGUAUCUAUAAGACCCAGGGACAUAGAGGAGCAACGCUAAGCAGAGCAUAGCAGGGCGGGAGGAUCCAUAGAAGCUAAUGAUGAAUGUAAUAGUGUGUAACAGAGAUGUACAACCAAUGGCGGCAGAAUGUCACAGACAAUUAAUGUCUCCUCAGCACUGUGUUUGUUUGCUUCCCCCAGGCUUUCAGCAGGGCUUAACUAAUGGUAUGCUGGUCAAGGACAUAAAUUGUGUUUGACACCAUGUGUGAAGCGCACAAUUACAUAUUGCCCACAAAUGUUUGGCUAUAGACCUGAGAGGUAUUUCUCCAUGUGCUCUGAAUGUGUCAUGGCAAUAAUGUUUGUAGAUGAGAGUUUUGCAGAAUAGAAAAUCAUCUGCAAAAGAACAUCUGCAACGUUUCAAAAAAAGUUCUUACUGAACGUAGCUGCAAAACAUUAAUUGUCAACAUGUUUCAUUUAUUGUACUCCAAUAUCUGGUUGUAGCAAGGGAAAGUGUUUUAGUACAAAGUCUGCCCCCUGACCCUAGAUUGCCCCCCCAUUAAAUGGUGUUUAUCCAAUCUUUUCUGAAAAGUCCAAAGUGCCAAAGACAAAGCCAUUUGGCUGUUAUAUCGUCAUAACAGUAGGCAGCACCAAAUCCCCAGAUUGUGUAAUAGUUUUGCAUGGCAUGUUUUGCAAAGCUAAUUACAGCUUAAGAGUCCGUCGCCCUCAUCCUUCCUCCCAUCCCUCCCUCCUCGUCUCUGACAUGAAUUCUGCCCCAGCAUUACCAUCUAAGGUUAUUGUAUUCCAUAAAACCUAGCAGGCUAGGCAUUUGGAUCUCACUGGGCAAGCCCGUAUUUGAAGUCUCCCCUUUGAUAUUCAGGGAGCUUUUUUCUCUGACUGUUAAUGAUUUUAAUUAUAGGUGGUACUGGGACUUUCUAAGCUUUGUGCUGCAGAACAUAAUGUUUUUUCCUCUCUCUUCCUUGACACGAUGGGAGGCUUUCUGAAACAGAUGCAGAGAUGUUGAGCCACCCCUCUGAUGUCUCUGUAGGACUAUUAAGCUGUAACAACUUAAUUUCACAGCGCCACACAAGCACUGGGCUUUGACGGCACUUAAUGAGUAUUACGGUCUUUUCAUCCGUGUCAAAUUUUAUGACAAGCCCUCUAUUUUACUCCAUGGCUCGCAGUGGGUUUGUGAAUGUGUAAUGAUAAUUGAGAGGAAAACGGUGCAGUGCCCAGCUGUGUACCAAAUCAUUCUGUCAAGAACUGAAUUUAUGAGUGUAUGCAUAUGGCUGUGUUUCUGUGCAGGACUGGUGAUGAAAAUAAUUACCAGGUGAAAGAAAAAUCUGGACAUUUUCUGCCACUUUGCUGUGCAGUUCAAAGACAUUUAGUUUUUGCCAACAUAUGUUUUCACUGGUUAUGGUCUAAAAACAAAUAGAAAUAGAACAUAUUCUCACCCACUUUUACAAUGUGUUAAUCUGGUGUUGGUGGUUUCAGUCUAAUCUUUAUGAGCUACAUGCAAGUAUAUCCCGAUGAGGGCUGUUUAGACGGAAUUAUUGCAGAAAUACAAGCAUAAACCAGCAAGUGAGAAAGUGUGCUACACAGCUUUUACAAGUUUUACAAGAAAGUAUUUGCUAGACACAUAAAAACAUUUGUACAAUGUCCAGCGAGCGGCACUUCCUCGAAGUGAAUGGGUUGAUUUGUUUAUGAACUAAUAUAGUGGUACUCCAAUAAAACUCAAUAAAAAUCUCAAUACCAUUCACCUAAGUUUCCAUUUUUAUUACACACAUACAUAUUCCCUUAUACCUAUGCAUUUUAGCAAAAAUGCAUCAUCAAUACAACUCCACAAGAGUAGUAUCCUCAAACACCAAAUCCUAUUCUGAAGCUACAUUUAAUCGAACACAUUUGUGAAUGCAAAUGUAGAAAAGAUGCACACAACUUCAACACAGUUGGAUAGUUUAAGGCCCUAAUUAUUAAUGAAUUGUAAACUAAAACAUACUCACAAUACAAGGUAGGCUUGAGGAAACCCAACAAAACAUGUCUAAGAGAUGAUUUAAUGUGCAGGUGCAAUGUUCUUUGGUAUUACUUUGAAACUGCAUUGCAUAUCAUUGCUUUUAUUGUGGCAACAGAAGGCUACGUUCACACAUACUCAGGUGGUCCAGCGAAAAAACGCUACUCUUUCUAUUCAUUCUUUAUUUUACAUAGGGGUAAAAGGGGGAACUGAUCAAGUUUGUUUUUCCAAAACGCAUCAGUAUAAGAAAAUGAAAUGUUGAAUUGAGGCCAUAGUAUUGAGAUUGCUUUUGUGUUUUUGGAGUGCCACUAUGUCAGUUCAUAAGUUCUUGAAGACUACAAAUCUAUAACAGAAAUUCUGCGCUACAAACUGCAGGCAUAGAGGGUGUGAGGGUCUAAUGAAAGAGGAAGUGUAGGAUCCAUUGAUCUUGGGGUUUGAGAUGUAUCAAGAUAGCUCCCGGAUAUCAAUCUGCUACACUUUCACCAAAUUAUUCAACCACUUACUUUAAAAAGAUUUAUUACACAAACCACAAUUCAUAUUCACUUUUUUCCUUACUUUCAAAUAAGUAAUUUAAAUAACAAAGCUGUGGACUUGUAAACCAUUCAGCUUGGAUGGUUGAUUGGUAUGCAAUGUAAAAGUGUCUAGAAGAGAUGCUUCUUUCCAAGAUCUCAGCAAUACAUUUGGUGUGUAUUAUCAAAUCAAACAGAAGUGAUA